UACAGAGGGGGCAAGCGUUGUUCGGAAUUACUGGGCGUAAAGGGCGCGUAGGCGGCCUGUUAAGUCGAACGUGAAAUCCCCAGGCUUAACCUGGGAACUGCGUCCGAUACUGGCAGGCUUGAAUCCGGGAGAGGGAUGUGGAAUUCCAGGUGUAGCGGUGAAAUGCGUAGAUAUCUGGAGGAACACCGGUGGCGAAGGCGGCAUCCUGGACCGGCAUUGACGCUGAGGCGCGAAAGCUAGGGGAGCAAACGGG
This 253-nucleotide ribosomal RNA is filed under the name uncultured bacterium. Its description in RNAcentral is "partial 16S ribosomal RNA". It matches the Rfam family "Bacterial small subunit ribosomal RNA", at positions 524 to 776 of the family's 1533-position model. The record is from RNAcentral.